AUACGUAGGGGGCGAGCGUUGUCCGGAAUGAUUGGGCGUAAAGGGCGCGUAGGCGGCCUGUUAAGUCUGGAGUGAAAGUCCUGUUUUCAAGAUGGGAAUUGCUUUGGAUACUGAUGGGCUUGAGUGCAGGAGAGGUUAUCGGAAUUCCCGGUGUAGCGGUGAAAUGCGUAGAGAUCGGGAGGAACACCAGUGGCGAAGGCGGGUAACUGGACUGCAACUGACGCUGAGGCGCGAAAGUGUGGGGAGCAAACAGGAUUAGAUACCCUGGUAGUCCACGCGGUAAACGAUGAAUGCUAGGUGUAGCGGGUAUCGACCCCUGCUGUGCCGCAGUAAACACAAUAAGCAUUCCGCCUGGGGAGUACGGCCGCAAGGUUGAAACUCAAAGGAAUUGACGGGG
Molecule: ribosomal RNA, 397 nt
Filed under: uncultured bacterium
Lineage: Bacteria
Description: partial 16S ribosomal RNA
Rfam family: Bacterial small subunit ribosomal RNA
Source: RNAcentral